RNAcentral lists this ribosomal RNA (492 nucleotides) under uncultured bacterium. RNAcentral describes it as "partial 16S ribosomal RNA". It matches the Rfam family "Bacterial small subunit ribosomal RNA", at positions 29 to 507 of the family's 1533-position model. The record is from RNAcentral.
AGUGAACGCUGGCGGUAGGCCUAACACAUGCAAGUCGAACGGCAGCACAGUAAGAGCUUGCUCUUACGGGUGGCGGGUGGCGGACGGGUGAGGAAUACAUCGGAAUCUACUUUUUCGUGGGGGAUAACGUAGGGAAACUUACGCUAAUACCGCAUACGACCUACGGGUGAAAGCAGGGGAUCUUCGGACCUUGCGCGAUUGAAUGAGCCGAUGUCGGAUUAGCUAGUUGGCGGGGUAAAGGCCCACCAAGGCGACGAUCCGUGGCUGGUCUGAGAGGAUGAUCAGCCACACUGGAACUGAGACACGGUCCAGACUCCUACGGGAGGCAGCAGUGGGGAAUAUUGGACAAUGGGCGCAAGCCUGAUCCAGCCAUACCGCGUGGGUGAAGAAGGCCUUCGGGUUGUAAAGCCCUUUUGUUGGGAAAGAAAAGCAGCAGGUUAAUACCCCGCUGUUCUGACGGUACCCAAAGAAUAAGCACCGGCUAACUUCGUG